Molecule: ribosomal RNA, 253 nt
Filed under: uncultured bacterium
Lineage: Bacteria
Description: partial 16S ribosomal RNA
Rfam family: Bacterial small subunit ribosomal RNA
Source: RNAcentral
UACGUAGGGUGCAAGCGUUGUCCGGAAUUAUUGGGCGUAAAGAGCUCGUAGGCGGUCUGUCGCGUCUGCUGUGAAAAUCCAGGGCUCAACCCUGGACCUGCAGUGGGUACGGGCAGACUAGAGUGCGGUAGGGGAGAUCGGAAUUCCUGGUGUAGCGGUGAAAUGCGCAGAUAUCAGGAGGAACACCGAUGGCGAAGGCAGGUCACUGGGCCGCAACUGACGCUGAGGAGCGAAAGCAUGGGGAGCGAACAGG